Long non-coding RNA from Bombus pascuorum, 832 nucleotides. RefSeq lists it as uncharacterized. The record is from RefSeq and is a predicted model, not a curated record. The transcript has 3 exons. Lineage: Eukaryota; Metazoa; Arthropoda; Insecta; Hymenoptera; Apidae.
UGUAUUAUUAAAAUUCCUAUUAACAAAUAAAAUUCUAACAAUAAGAUAUCUUCUAAAGUAGAAGAUAUCUUAUGCUUUUAUAUUUAACCAGGAUAAAAAGCGAAAGGUAAUUUAGCAGAGAAGAAAACUACGUUAGAAAAAGUGUACGAUUCAGCGGUGGAACUUUUUUAGUAUGAUAACUCACAGAGGAAGAUUUAAAAUCGCGGCCUCGCGUUCGCUACAGUUUCAUUAAAAAAUCAUGAUGUUUAAUUACCACGGCAACAGAUUGCAUAAGAUUGACCCUCUAACGUGCAGCACGAAGAGGAACGCGUGCAAUGGUUGAGCCUCAGGAUAAACUGCUGGAAAGCAUGUCGAGGGAAAAGAAAAAGGGAGACGUGAACCGGCACCUGCUACCUCGAAGACUCAGAGAAAUGGCCUGUCGUCUUCCGACUGACAAAGAUGAAUUCCGCUCGUAAAGAAGAGAAAAGAGAAUGAUAGACAGAGGAGACAUAAUUGUGUCCCGUGACAAUAAAACUCUAAUAUCCGGCCGUGGAAACGAGGUGUGAGCAAUGCGAAGCUGACUUUUUCCAGCGAGAAUGUGGGAGAAUUGGGAACAGGGAGCAGAAAGCGGAAGGAAAUUGGCGGUCAGUCAUCGAGUUUCCCGAAAGAUCACGCCAUCACGAAGUUUUUCGAUGAUCCAUGAUAUUUCAGUCAGUUUCUCGAUUCACCGACAGUGUUACAAAGUGUUAGAAAACUGUUUUGUGAGUAAUACAGAUUAUAUAGUUAAAAAUAGAUAAUAAAAAUAAAAUGACGUACAGGUGCUAACGAAAGUAUACUGAAUAGAUGUGAAUAU